AUUUUCGAUUGCUUCAUAAAAAUAAGGACACGCACUCUUUGCCCAUAUAAAUCUAAAAAUCACACCAUUAAUUAUAAUUAUAUUAAACUAUUACUACAUCAUCCAUGGUUUUUCUUCCCAUUUUUUCCAGGCUUAGUAGCAUUGGGAUGAAACAACGUGCCUCGAUGAUGAUUAUUAUGUCUUCCUACUCUUUGUGGAGGCAUUUUAGUAUGAGUUUCUGGUCCUCUAUAAUCAAUUUCAUAAAUUUCUGAGGCAUUCACUUUUGAUAAAUCCAUUUUUCCUGAGGAAGGCGAGGCGAGGAGGAGAAGGAAGAAGAUGACAAUGAAGUUACACUUAAGCUUCAUGGUAAAGAUCAAGAUCUUGAUCAAGAAUGUAUAUAUAUGUUUUAUUUUAUGCUAAAAGAGUGAUGAAAUUUGCUAAUGAGAAUUAUUAUAAGUACUCAUUGGGGAAAAA
RNAcentral lists this unclassified non-coding RNA (453 nucleotides) under Hevea brasiliensis (rubber tree). The record is from RNAcentral. Lineage: Eukaryota; Viridiplantae; Streptophyta; Magnoliopsida; Malpighiales; Euphorbiaceae.